Molecule: long non-coding RNA, 526 nt
Filed under: Physcomitrium patens
Lineage: Eukaryota; Viridiplantae; Streptophyta; Bryopsida; Funariales; Funariaceae
Description: long non-coding RNA (PPAT_LNC008958)
Source: RNAcentral
CCCAGACCUGGCGCUGUCUACGGUGGUGGACGUGAUCGCACUAGGCCGAGCGAGGAUGAAGCACAACCCGAUUAUGGACGCCAUAGGCCUUCUUACGGUGGAGAAGAAGAAGAGUCGGGCUACCGCAAGCCAAGACCUGCAUACGGUGAAGAAGAAGAAGAGUCGGGCUACCGCAAGCCAAGACCCUCAUACGGCGAAGAAGAAUCCGAGGAAGGGGGAUACCGCAAGUCCAGACCUUCCUACGGCGAGGAAGAGUCCGAGGAGGGAGGAUACCGCAAAUCGAGACCCUCAUAUGGCGAGGAAGAGUCCGAGGAGGGAGGAUACCGCAAAUCCAGACCCUCAUAUGGCGAGGAAGAGUCCGAGGAGGGAGGAUACCGCAAAUCCAGACCCUCAUAUGGCGAGGAAGAGUCCGAGGAGGGAGGAUACCGCAAGCCGAAACCUAAAUACGGCGACGACGAGGAGGUGUCCGAUUACCGUAGGUCAGGAUACGGUGAAGAAGAAGAGUCUGGUUAUCGCGAACCGAAGC